Clostridium botulinum A str. ATCC 3502 is the source of this 124-nucleotide regulatory RNA element. It matches the Rfam family "c-di-AMP riboswitch aptamer (ydaO/yuaA leader)". Rfam says of the family: This family represents a conserved RNA structure found upstream of the ydaO and yuaA genes in Bacillus subtilis and related genes in other bacteria. NCBI's taxonomy places the organism in Bacteria, Bacillati, Bacillota, Clostridia, Eubacteriales, Clostridiaceae. The record is from Rfam.
AAACAAAUCAUGCCGAAUCUUCUUUAUGAAGUACCGGGGAUACUCUUGGGGUGAAUCUCUUAGGAAUAGGGUACCUCUAACCCGAACCCGUCAACUAACCUGGGAGGCAAUAUGGAGGGAUUUA